This is a long non-coding RNA of Syngnathus acus (greater pipefish), 659 nucleotides long. RefSeq lists it as uncharacterized. The record is from RefSeq and is a predicted model, not a curated record. The transcript has 2 exons. Lineage: Eukaryota; Metazoa; Chordata; Actinopteri; Syngnathiformes; Syngnathidae.
AAUGAAUACAUUCAAGUUUCCUUGUCAAAACAAACAUAGUGCAUUGGUAACCCUUGAUUUGUUUUGUUCAUAUAGCACUAUAAUCUGGCACCUAGGUCUCCCAAAUGACACCUAUGAUGGAAAUUUGUCAUGUAGCGCUCCCUCCAUCCCUCCCUUCGCCAUCUAGCACAGCAGUCAUACUGAGAAAAAGGGUUUUCGCGGAAUAUUUUUGUCAAUGGAUACUGUGACUUCAAUACCUCUUAUUUCUCCAUCCAUCAUCGUCACAUUUUCAACUGUAGUAAGUGGGUAGUCGACCGGCCACUACUGCAUUUGGAAUAAUAAGAAUGAAAAAAAAUCAACAUUGAACGUUUUGCAAAACACAUCUUGCACCUGAUAUUUUUCUACACAUGGCCUUCCCAAAAUGUUGCCAAAAUAAGCAAUUUCCACUUGCCUUGCUUGUUUACAAGCGGUCCCCCAUUUUUAGAUGAGUGCUAGCUAGCUAGCUAGCAAGCUCCGUGGAUGAACUCGUGUGCGCAUUUGUCAGAACAAGUCAAAAUUAAUAUUACUCAUCGUUUUUACGAUGAUGCUGCUUUGCCGCGCUUUGGCCAGUCUAUGUCGGCUUACGUAUCGACAAACGAUAGAAUGGUCGCCGCUCGAUAUCAGGCCACAUGCAGACAAAC